This 468-nucleotide ribosomal RNA is filed under the name uncultured bacterium. Its description in RNAcentral is "partial 16S ribosomal RNA". It matches the Rfam family "Bacterial small subunit ribosomal RNA", at positions 28 to 507 of the family's 1533-position model. The record is from RNAcentral.
GACGAACGCUGGCGGCGUGCUUAACACAUGCAAGUCGAACGGAAAGGCCCUGCUUUUGUGGGGUGCUCGAGUGGCGAACGGGUGAGUAACACGUGAGUAACCUGCCCUUGACUUUGGGAUAACUUCAGGAAACUGGGGCUAAUACCGGAUAGGAGCUCCUGCUGCAUGGUGGGGGUUGGAAAGUUUCGGCGGUUGGGGAUGGACUCGCGGCUUAUCAGCUUGUUGGUGGGGUAGUGGCUUACCAAGGCUUUGACGGGUAGCCGGCCUGAGAGGGUGACCGGCCACAUUGGGACUGAGAUACGGCCCAGACUCCUACGGGAGGCAGCAGUGGGGAAUAUUGCACAAUGGGCGGAAGCCUGAUGCAGCAACGCCGCGGGCGGGAUGACGGCCUUCGGGUUGUAAACCGAUUUCGAAUGUGACGAAGAGUGAGUGACGGUAAUGGGUAAAGAAGCACCGGCUAACUACGUG